RNAcentral lists this ribosomal RNA (484 nucleotides) under uncultured bacterium. Its description in RNAcentral is "bacterial SSU rRNA". It matches the Rfam family "Bacterial small subunit ribosomal RNA", at positions 43 to 521 of the family's 1533-position model. The record is from RNAcentral.
CAGGCCUAACACAUGCAAGUCGAACGGCAGCACGGGAGCAAUCCUGGUGGCGAGUGGCGAACGGGUGAGUAAUAUAUCGGAACGUGCGCUAGAGUGGGGGAUAACGUAGCGAAAGUUACGCUAAUACCGCAUACGAUCUAAGGAUGAAAGUGGGGGAUCGCAAGACCUCAUGCUCCUGGAGCGGCCGAUAUCUGAUUAGCUAGUUGGUAGGGUAAAAGCCUACCAAGGCAUCGAUCAGUAGCUGGUCUGAGAGGACGACCAGCCACACUGGAACUGAGACACGGUCCAGACUCCUACGGGAGGCAGCAGUAGGGAAUCUUCCGCAAUGGACGAAAGUCUGACGGAGCGACGCCGCGUGAGCAAAGAAGGUCUUCGGAUCGUAAAGCUCUGUUGUUAGAGAAGAAGAAGUACCGUUCGAAUAGGGCGGUACGGUGACGGUACCUAACGAGAAAGCCCCGGCUAACUACGUGCCAGCAGCCGCGGU